Molecule: ribosomal RNA, 402 nt
Filed under: uncultured bacterium
Lineage: Bacteria
Description: bacterial SSU rRNA
Rfam family: Bacterial small subunit ribosomal RNA
Source: RNAcentral
UGGGGAAUAUUGCACAAUGGGGGAAACCCUGAUGCAGCAGCGCCGCGUGAGUGAUGACGGCCUUCGGGUUGUAAAGCUCUGUCUUCAGGGACGAUAAUGACGGUACCUGAGGAGGAAGCCACGGCUAACUACGUGCCAGCAGCCGCGGUAAUACGUAGGUGGCAAGCGUUGUCCGGAUUUACUGGGCGUAAAGGGAGCGUAGGCGGACUUUUAAGUGAGAUGUGAAAUACCCGGGCUCAACCUGGGUGCUGCAUUUCAAACUGGAAGUCUAGAGUGCAGGAGAGGAGAGUGGAAUUCCUAGUGUAGCGGUGAAAUGCGUAGAGAUUAGGAAGAACACCAGUGGCGAAGGCGACUCUCUGGACUGUAACUGACGCUGAGGCUCGAAAGCGUGGGGAGCAAACA